RNAcentral lists this ribosomal RNA (426 nucleotides) under uncultured bacterium. RNAcentral's name for it is "bacterial SSU rRNA". It matches the Rfam family "Bacterial small subunit ribosomal RNA", at positions 30 to 456 of the family's 1533-position model. The record is from RNAcentral.
AUUGAACGCUGGCGGCAUGCUUUACACAUGCAAGUCGAACGGCAGCACGGGUGCUUGCACCUGGUGGCGAGUGGCGAACGGGUGAGUAAUGCAUCGGAACGUGCCCAUGAGUGGGGGAUAGCCCGGCGAAAGCCGGAUUAAUACCGCAUACGCCCUUAGGGGGAAAGCGGGGGAUCUUCGGACCUCGCGCUAUUGGAGCGGCCGAUGUCGGAUUAGCUAGUAGGUGAGGUAAAGGCUCACCUAGGCGACGAUCCGUAGCUGGUCUGAGAGGAUGAUCAGCCACACUGGGACUGAGACACGGCCCAGACUCCUACGGGAGGCAGCAGUGGGGAAUUUUGGACAAUGGGCGCAAGCCUGAUCCAGCCAUGCCGCGUGAGUGAAGAAGGCCUCGGUUGUAAGACGUCUUUCUAGUGGAAGAAAGACGGA